CUGCUUGGCUUUCCCCAUCGUACGUGGCUGCUGAGCACCUCGCCGAGGCUACAGCAGCGCUCAGCACAGCUCCGGCCCGCCGGCGGUUUUCUCUACUCGACCUCCCUCAUCGCUGCAUCUGGACAUACGCUGCUGCUCGCCGCGCUCCCUGGUGUGCGAGCUUGCCGGCACCCAGUCCUCCUCUCCACGUCAGAGUCCUUACCUCACCAUCAAGACAUCGUCGUCGCGCCGUCAGCUCCCAGAAAAGGAAGUUGA
Molecule: unclassified non-coding RNA, 255 nt
Filed under: Zea mays
Lineage: Eukaryota; Viridiplantae; Streptophyta; Magnoliopsida; Poales; Poaceae
Description: misc RNA Zm00001eb090790
Source: RNAcentral